UAUUGGUCAAUGGAGGCAACUCUGAACCAGCCAUGCCGCGUGCAGGAAGACUGCCCUAUGGGUUGUAAACUGCUUUUAUACGGGAAUAAACCUACCCUCGAGAGGGUAGCUGAAUGUACCGUAAGAAUAAGGAUCGGCUAACUCCGUGCCAGCAGCCGCGGUAAUACGGAGGAUCCAAGCGUUAUCCGGAUUUAUUGGGUUUAAAGGGAGCGUAGGCGGCCUAUUAAGUCAGGGGUGAAAGACGGCAGCUUAACUGUCGCAGUGCCUUUGAUACUGAUAGGCUUGAAUGUAGUUGAGGUGGGCGGAAUGUGACAAGUAGCGGUGAAAUGCAUAGAUAUGUCACAGAACACCGAUUGCGAAGGCAGCUCACUAAGCCAACAUUGACGCUGAGGCACGAAAGCGUGGGGAGCGA
RNAcentral lists this ribosomal RNA (412 nucleotides) under uncultured bacterium. Its description in RNAcentral is "bacterial SSU rRNA". It matches the Rfam family "Bacterial small subunit ribosomal RNA", at positions 362 to 771 of the family's 1533-position model. The record is from RNAcentral.